AGCGAACGCUGGCGGCAGGCUUAACACAUGCAAGUCGAACGGGCAUAGCAAUAUGUCAGUGGCAGACGGGUGAGUAACGCGUGGGAACGUACCUUUUGGUUCGGAACAACACAGGGAAACUUGUGCUAAUACCGGAUAAGCCCUUACGGGGAAAGAUUUAUCUCCGAAAGAUCGGCUCGCGUCUGAUUAGCUAGUUGGUAGGGUAAUGGCCUACCAAGGCGUCGAUCAGUAGCUGGGCUGAGAGGAUGAUCAGCCACAUUGGGACUGAGACACGGCCCAAACUCCUACGGAAGGCAGCAGUGGGGAAUAUUGGACAAUGGGCGAAAGCCUGAGCCAGCCAUGCCGCGUGAGUGAUGAAGGACAUAGGGUUGUAAAGCUCUGUUGUGCGGGAAGAUAAUGACGGUACCGCAAGAAUAAGCCCCGGCUAACUUCGUG
Molecule: ribosomal RNA, 435 nt
Filed under: uncultured bacterium
Lineage: Bacteria
Description: partial 16S ribosomal RNA
Rfam family: Bacterial small subunit ribosomal RNA
Source: RNAcentral